Molecule: transfer RNA, 72 nt
Filed under: Sphaerodactylus townsendi
Lineage: Eukaryota; Metazoa; Chordata; Lepidosauria; Squamata; Sphaerodactylidae
Description: tRNA-Lys
Rfam family: tRNA
About the family: Transfer RNA (tRNA) molecules are approximately 80 nucleotides in length. Their secondary structure includes four short double-helical elements and three loops (D, anti-codon, and T loops).
Source: RNAcentral
AGGGCUGUGGAUCAGUGGAAGAGCUUCCGCUUCUUAUGCAGAAGGUACCAGGUUCAAACUCCGGCAUCUCUA